Molecule: long non-coding RNA, 2141 nt
Filed under: Homo sapiens (human)
Lineage: Eukaryota; Metazoa; Chordata; Mammalia; Primates; Hominidae
Description: non-protein coding lnc-LTA-1:1
Source: RNAcentral
CCACCAAAAUUCAUUUGGUGACAGAAACCUAAUCUGAACUAAAGUAAGACUAUUAUUUAUUUUCAUCCUACUGAUGUCAAUAUUCAUACAUUUCCCUGCAGAAACACUCAUGUGUUUGGUUCUUGGGCUGCCUAGGCCCUCCUGGGCUACCUAAUAUAGAGUGAGUGUACUUUUAGGUCAGCCCUAUCAAGUCCCAAAAACAUUUGAAUUCUGCAAAACCUUUGGCACUGAAGGAUUCAAAUGGGGAACCUGGUGAUAUUAUAAUAGUGGUGGAGGCCAGGUGCGGUGGGUCAUGCCUGUAAUCCCAGCACUUUGGGAGGCCAAGGCAGUCAGAUCACGAGGUCAGGAGUUCGAGACCAGCCUGACCAACAUAGUGAAACCCCCAUCUGUACUAAAAAUACAAAAAUUAGCCAGGCAUGGUGGCACACACCUGUAGUCUCAGCUACUUGGGAGGCUGAGGCAGGAGAAUCACUUGAACCCGGAAGACAGAGGUUGUGGUGAGCCGAGAUUGCACUACUGCAUUCCAACCUGGGCAACACAGCAAGACUCCGUCUCAAAAAAAAAAAAAAGAGUGGUGGAAGCAGCUCUUUAUAGGUAGAGCCCUGCUUACUAGAAUAAAAGCUGAAACCUUCUUUCCCCAUCUAGGGAAGGUACACACCAAAUUCAUGGGACAGAUGGCCUGGGGAGGAAUGAAACUUGGAAGGCGGUAUCACGGUAAACUACCUUUAUCUGUGAUGAUUUUAUUUCCUUAAAAUAAAUUAUACUACAAACAUGACAGUACAUUAACAAACCCUGUGGUAGGAAUGGGGUUGUGUAUUGUAUUAUACUUUGUAUUUUUGAGAGUUUUUUAAUUUCUUUUUUGUUGUUGUUGAGACAGAGUCUCACUCUGUCACCCAGGCUGGAGUCCAGUCGCGCAAUCUUGGCUCACUGCAACCUCUGCCUCCCGGGUUCAAGCAGUUCUCUGCCUCAGCCUCCCAAGUAGCUGGGAUUACAGGCAUCCGCCACCACGUCAGGCUAAUUUUUGUAUUUUUAGUGGAGACGGGGUUUCACCAUCUUGGCCAGACUGGUCUUGAACUCCUGACCUCAUGAUCCACCCACCUUGGGCUCCCAGAGUGCUGGGAUUACAGGCAUGAGCCACCGCGCCUGGCCGAGUUUUUUAAUUUCUAAAAAUAAAAAUGAGUAUACAUCUAAAGUAGUAGAAGAAAAUGCAGAGAAUGUUUUAUAAUCUUAAAAUAGAGCCUUCCUAAGAGUGAAGUGAAAUAAAAAGUCAGAAAAUAAUAUAUUGAUAUAGAUUUAACUACAUGAAAAUUUUAGGCCGGGUGCGAUAGCUCACACCUGUAAUCCCACACUUUGGGAUGCCAAGGUAGGCAGAUCACUUGAGCCAGGAGUUCAAGACCAGCCUGAACAACACAGUGAGACCUGGUCUGUACAAAAAAUACAAAAUUAGCCAGGCGUGGUGGUACGUGGCUGUCGUCCUGUAGUCCCAGUUACUCAGGAGGCUGAGGUGGGAGGAUCGCUUGAGCCCAGGUGGGGCAGAGUUUGCAGUGAGCAAGAUCAUGCCACCGCACUGCAGCCUGGGCAACAGGGUGAGACCUUGUCUCAAAAAGAAAAAAAAAGCUUUUUUAAAGAUAGAUAGAAGAAAAUGUUUGCAAUAUGUAUAACACAUACAGUAUAUAGAACCCUCAUAUCAAUAUAUAUAAUUUCCAAAGAAAAAGUGGAUAAAGAAUAUGAGCAAUUCAUUCACAAAAAAUACAAAUAGCCAAAAGACAUGAAAAAGAAAAAAACAUUGUUAAUAAAAUAAUUUUUUAAUCUAUCCAACUGGCAAAAUUAAAAGGGUUGAUGAUAUUCAAUUUUGGUAAAGGAAGACAUAGGCACACUUGUAUAUUGGCACAAACUUAUUGAGAGCAGUUUGACCAAAUUGCGCAUGUCCUUUGACUCAGAAAUUCCACUUAUGAAAAUCUACCCCCACAGAAAGACUGUAAGAUACUCAUGAGGCUGAACAUUUUUUGAAACAAAGUCUAUCGAUAUUGGGGUAAGGAGAUUUGUUUUGUACACACAGUGGAACACUAAUUAUAAAGUCGUCAAAAAGUAUGAGGUAGACUGUAUAUAUUCCUGUGGAAAAAUAUAAAUGAGAUGUUAAA